Molecule: ribosomal RNA, 624 nt
Filed under: Shewanella sp. NA251
Lineage: Bacteria; Pseudomonadati; Pseudomonadota; Gammaproteobacteria; Alteromonadales; Shewanellaceae
Description: bacterial SSU rRNA
Rfam family: Bacterial small subunit ribosomal RNA
Source: RNAcentral
AUWGGAUGUACCUAGGUGGGAUUAGCUAGUUGUGAGGUAAUGGCUCACCAAGGCGACGAUCCCUAGCUGUUCUGAGAGGAUGAUCAGCCACACUGGACUGAGACACGGCCCAGACUCCUACGGGAGGCAGCAGUGGGGAAUAUUGCACAAUGGCGCAAGCCUGAUGCAGCCAUGCCGCGUGUGUGAAGAAGUCCUUCGGGUUGUAAAGCACUUUCAGCGAGGAGGAAAGCUUAAGCGUUAAUAGCGUAUAGGUGUGACGUUACUCGCAGAAGAAGGACCGGCUAACUUCGUGCCAGCAGCCGCGGUAAUACGAGGGGUCCAAGCGUUAAUCGGAAUUACUGGGCGUAAAGCGUACGCUAGGCGGUUUGUUAAGCGAGAUGUGAAAGCCCCGGGCUCAACCUUGGGAAUUGCAUCUCGAACUGGCAGACUAGAGUCUUGUAGAGGGGGGUAGAAUUUCAGGUGUAGCGGUGAAAUGCGUAGAGAUCUGAAGGAAUACCGGUGGCGAAGGCGACCCCCUGGACAAAGACUGACGCUCAGGUACGAAAGCGUGGGGAGCAAACAGGAUUAGAUACCCUGGUAGUCCACGCCGUAAACGAUGUCUACUCGGAAUUUGGUGCCUUGAGC